GUAGGUGGCAAGCGUUGUCCGGAAUUAUUGGGCGUAAAGCGCGCGCAGGCGGUUCUUUAAGUCUGAUGUGAAAGCCCACGGCUCAACCGUGGAGGGUCAUUGGAAACUGGAGAACUUGAGUACAGGAGAGGAAAGCGGAAUUCCACGUGUAGCGGUGAAAUGCGUAGAGAUGUGGAGGAACACCAGUGGCGAAGGCGGCUUUCUGGUCUGUAACUGACGCUGAGGCGCGAAAGCGUGGGGAGCAAACAGGAUUAGAUACCCUGGUAGUCCACGCCGUAAACGAUGAGUGCUAAGUGUUAGGGGGUUUCCGCCCCCCUUAGUGCUGCAGCUAACGCAUUAAGCACUCCGCCUGGGAUACGGCCGCAAGGCUG
Molecule: ribosomal RNA, 371 nt
Filed under: uncultured organism
Description: partial 16S ribosomal RNA
Rfam family: Bacterial small subunit ribosomal RNA
Source: RNAcentral